CCCCAGGACACCACCCUGAGCCAGGGGACCUCACAGUAUGUUACACCUGCAGAGGGAGUGUGGGCACAGCCAUCCAGAAGGGAAAUAGCUGCCUAUUCAGCAGGAGCAGAGACGUGAAUUAGGUAUCCUAACCCCAAGGUUGGUCUUCCUGGGCCUCUUGAUGCCAAAGGCCAUCAAGCCCCCAUCACCCGUGCCACUGGCCCUCACUGUCCCCCAGAAUCUCAGCUGAGCCUCUGGGCUGAUUUCACCCAUAUCCCAGGAAGCAAACAGGCCUUGGGCAACUCCCCUUCAUGUGGUCUUUGGGUAUCCACGCGUAGGAUGGCCCAGUGGGCCCUCAUCUGAUUUGAGGCAUAUGCAUGCUGUGAUUUAUAGCCCUCCCUGUUUCUUCUGUUACUAGCACGACACAAAGGCUUGGAGCACAAGUGCAUUAUGUGGGGUCAACAGCCAGAUGGGGAACGUCACCAUUAUGGCUUCUAGGCACAAGUGAUGACUGUAUAGUCACAGUCACAGCCCUGCUUCUGAGGCGGGGAGCUCUGCAGGUCACUAGCCACGCCCAUCUCCUUCCUAACUGGACAACUUUGAUUGGCCUUCAUUCACUUCCUGUGUGAAACAGGCAACUGGCCAGGAACUGAGGCUGCAUUUUAUUUUUCAUCUAGAAACGCAGCUCUGGCCGGCAGAUGGGCUUGAGUGGAAUACUAAGUCCUGGAGUUGUAAAAGAGUCUAGAAAUAACAUUUAACACACACAAAACGUACUCCUCUGCAACUUCCAAAAAAUUAGCUGACAGGUGUGCCUGAUUUAAAUAAUCAGUGCUGAACUCAUAACCCUGAUGAAGACGAGAUUUCUAAUGACCCAAAGCUGCAAACAUAUAUCCCUCCGCACGCUCUCCUCAGCUGCUGGGGGAGGCACGUCAGCACUUGCUCCCCUCAAAUAAAACAACGGUUUGGCUCAAGAUUUCAAGCUGGAGAUCUGCGGACAGUUUACAGCAGCUGCGGCGCACUGUGCUGUCUAGAGAACCCGUGACUUUGGGUACUAAGUGGAUGCCCAGAGCUAAACUGUCCUCCGGCACCUUCCUGUCCCACCUUCAGCCCUAGAUAACGGGGCCUGGGGCCGCACGGGUGUGCUAUGGGAAACCACAGCAGAACGCAGCACUGGCUCCCCGCUGAGGAACCGCAGCCCCCAGACAAGUGCACCGUCACCGCCCAUCUCGCAGGCAGCGAAAUGCGAUUUUCAAGAUGGUUUCAUCACACCGGGGAACUAACUGUGGGUCAGGCCUCUCCCACACCGCCGGCACUCCCGCGUACACGCGUUUAUCUUACAGAAUUAUCUAGAAGACUAUGGAUGGUGACAUAAUGUCCCUCACCAGAGAUAGACAUCAUAAGACCACACGUCAAGCCUAUGCACCUCCCCUGUCCCUGCCCUUUGCCCCAUUUUUAAGAGCCUUAAAAGACAGAAUCCUAAGCCCUUAAGUGCACCUCCUCUCUCAGGUUGCCCGCACUCCCCUUUCCUCAAGGUACUGUUUGCCUUAAUUAAAGACUUCUCACUGCUCAUAA
Molecule: long non-coding RNA, 1551 nt
Organism: Manis pentadactyla (Chinese pangolin)
Lineage: Eukaryota; Metazoa; Chordata; Mammalia; Pholidota; Manidae
Exons: 2
Source: RefSeq, a predicted model, not a curated record